This 126-nucleotide non-coding RNA is filed under the name uncultured Chlorophyceae. The record is from RNAcentral. Lineage: Eukaryota; Viridiplantae; Chlorophyta; Chlorophyceae.
AAAAUAAAAGGCAAUAUGAAAGGAGCAAGGAAAGGAAGAGGAGGAAAAAAAUGGCAAGAAAUGAAGUUUGUUAGGUUAACAGAAAGUCAAGUUUUUUUUUUCUUUGUUUUUGUAAGUAGAUUUUCA